Bombyx mori (domestic silkworm) is the source of this 673-nucleotide long non-coding RNA. RefSeq lists it as uncharacterized. NCBI's taxonomy places the organism in Eukaryota, Metazoa, Arthropoda, Insecta, Lepidoptera, Bombycidae. The record is from RefSeq and is a predicted model, not a curated record. The transcript has 3 exons.
CAAAGGAUUAAUGAGCAUCGAACAUGACAGUUUGAAAUUUGAGUAUUUUGACGUGACUAAUAAGGCCAGUCACAAGAGUGGGCGUUCUCAUUGUACAAAAGCCCUCCGAUGCAAAGCUGCUCCGUGGCGGUGCCGUUCCAGCAGGUCCAGUACCUGGUGCAGGAGGUCUCGUGGCCAAAGAUACCGUACAGCCAGUCGCAGUGCUCCGUGCCGAUUGGGGGAUCUGAAAAUAAAGCAGGCGUUGACAGAUUAAGAUGGGAGAUAAUAUGUAAUUUUCGGAAAAAUUAUAAGGAAACUAUAUUGAUUUUAAUUAAAGUAAGGCGAGGGAAAUAUUUAAUAACAAUCAACAUAUCCAGUACUGUUAUUUUAUAAUGAAGAAUGCCUUGAGAAACUCUCAAUUACAAGCAUCAUAGAAGGCAAUACGUUUCCGGCAUAUCAACGCAAGAUAUAUCUGUGAGUCGUUUGAAAAAAUAUCAAUAUACCGGAAAGAAGUGAAAUUGUAAUUGAUUCUAAUUCUUUUGAAUGCGAUUAUUUUAGAAAAACGGAGCUAAAUAUGGUCUAGUUGUUGUGGAAAAAAAAAGAAAUAAUAAAAACAUAUAAAAAAAAUUCCUUCAAUUAUUUAGCGAGCCUUACCGAUUUAUUUUAUCACUAGCGACCCGCCCUCGCUUCGCUU